AACGCGAAGAACCUUACCCAGACUUGACAUCGAUCGCAAGCCUCAGAAAUGGGGCCCUCCCCCACAAGGGGACGUGAAGACACUUGUUGCAUGGCUGUCGUCAGCUCGUGCCGUGAGGUGUACGGUUAAGUCCGCCAACGAGCGCAACCCUCGUCCUGUGUUACCAGCAUGAAAGAUGGGGACUCACAGGAGACCGCCGGUGUAAAUCGGAGGAAGGUGGGGAUGACGUCAAGUCAGCAUGGCAGUUACGUCUGGGGCUUCACACAUGCUACAAUGGGCGCAACAGAGGGCAGCGAUACCGCGAGGUGGAGCCAAUCCCAAAAAUACGCCCCCAGUUCAGAUUGCAGUCUGCAACUCGACUGCAUGAAGGCGGAAUCGCUAGUAAACGCAGGUCAGCUAUACUGCGUUGAAUACGUUCCCGGGCCUUGUACACACCGAGUAUA
Molecule: ribosomal RNA, 443 nt
Filed under: uncultured bacterium
Lineage: Bacteria
Description: bacterial SSU rRNA
Rfam family: Bacterial small subunit ribosomal RNA
Source: RNAcentral